Molecule: small nuclear RNA, 163 nt
Organism: Onychomys torridus (southern grasshopper mouse)
Lineage: Eukaryota; Metazoa; Chordata; Mammalia; Rodentia; Cricetidae
Product: U1 spliceosomal RNA
Exons: 1
Source: RefSeq, a predicted model, not a curated record
AUACUUACCUGACAGAAGAGACAUUGCAAUCAUGAAGGUGGUUUGCCCAGGGCAAGGCUCAUCCACUGCACUCCAGACAUUUGACCUCUGAGAUUUUACCAAAUGUGGGAAACCAGCCUUCAUAAUUUGUUGUAGUGAGGAACUGUGUUCUUGCUGUGCCCCC